RNAcentral lists this ribosomal RNA (301 nucleotides) under uncultured bacterium. RNAcentral's name for it is "bacterial SSU rRNA". It matches the Rfam family "Bacterial small subunit ribosomal RNA", at positions 29 to 334 of the family's 1533-position model. The record is from RNAcentral.
AAUAAACGCUGGCGGUGUGCCUAACACAUGCAAGUCGAGCGAGAAAGCUCCUUCGGGAGUGAGUACAGCGGCGGACGGGUGAGUAACGCGUGAGAAUCUGCCCUUCAGUGAGGAAUACCUCAGAGAAAUCUGAGUUAAUACUGCAUACGUCCCUUCGGGGAGAAAGAUGGCCUCUUUGCUGUCGCUGAUGGAUGAGCUUGCGUACCAUUAGCUUGUUGGUGGGGUAAAGGCCUACCAAGGCUAUGAUGGUUAGCCGACCUGAGAGGGUGUACGGCCACAUUGGAACUGAGACACGGUCCAG